UUUUUUUUUUUUUUUUUUUUUUUUUUUUGAUGUUGA
This 36-nucleotide non-coding RNA is filed under the name Prorocentrum micans. Lineage: Eukaryota; Dinophyceae; Prorocentrales; Prorocentraceae. The record is from RNAcentral.